RNAcentral lists this unclassified non-coding RNA (351 nucleotides) under soil metagenome. Its description in RNAcentral is "partial contains 5.8S ribosomal RNA, internal transcribed spacer 2, and large subunit ribosomal RNA". The stretch from base 2 to 119 matches the Rfam family "5.8S ribosomal RNA", at positions 37 to 154 of the family's 154-position model. The record is from RNAcentral.
GUGAAGAACGCAGCGAAAUGCGAUAAGUAAUGUGAAUUGCAGAAUUCAGUGAAUCAUCGAAUCUUUGAACGCACAUUGCGCCCGCCAGUAUUCUGGCGGGCAUGCCUGUUCGAGCGUCAUUACAACCCUCAGGCCCCCGGGCCUGGCGUUGGGGAUCGGCGGAGCCCCCCGUGGGCACACGCCGUCCCCCAAAUACAGUGGCGGUCCCGCCGCAGCUUCCAUCGCGUAGUAGCUAACACCUCGCGACUGGAGAGCGGCGCGGCCACGCCGUAAAACACCCAACUCUUCUGAAGUUGACCUCGAAUCAGGUAGGAAUACCCGCUGAACUUAAGCAUAUCAAUAAGCGGAGGA